Molecule: long non-coding RNA, 608 nt
Filed under: Citrus sinensis (sweet orange)
Lineage: Eukaryota; Viridiplantae; Streptophyta; Magnoliopsida; Sapindales; Rutaceae
Description: long non-coding RNA (CSIN_LNC003546)
Source: RNAcentral
AUAGAGAGCAUGCAUGCAUAUAUACUAAUAGAGACCAUAACCUAAUUGCCAUUGUGGUUUAAUUAGCAAUACUGCUACAAUGACUACCGUUUCAUAUUUGCUCUUCUCUUUCUUGUUGAUCCAUGGACUAAUAUUUUCUCAUACUAUUUACAUCGUGAAGGCAAAUGAAAUCGUUUCGGCUGAUUCUUCUUUGAAUGCAAUAUCUUCUCACGUUCUAGUUCAUCGUAAGUUACCAAAGAUGGUAACCCUAAGGAAGGUUCCACCACGACCUUCAAGCCCGGUUCCCAACGUGCCUCCACGUCAGAAUCCUCCUCCGGGCCCGAAAUAGCUGCCGCCGACAACUUUUUUCCAGUAGAAUUACCCUCCCCACCAUACAAUAAAACUUCAACAUGUGUUUUGUUGAAGCUAGAAGGCCUUAUGUGGGUUCAAGUCUUUUUUUUUUUUUUUUUCUUCGGUAAUUAUAGAAGUGCAAAAUUUUAUCUAUUGAAAAAUUGAAUAAUUAAUUUGUGUCCCAGUCUCUUCACUCUUUUAUUUUCUCUACCAUUGGUUAACCAAAACUCCAUAUUGAAAAUUUCAUUGAUCUUCAAAAAUAAAAUGCGUUUAUUAAA